This 807-nucleotide ribosomal RNA is filed under the name uncultured Bacteroidia bacterium. RNAcentral describes it as "bacterial SSU rRNA". It matches the Rfam family "Bacterial small subunit ribosomal RNA", at positions 12 to 805 of the family's 1533-position model. Lineage: Bacteria; Pseudomonadati; Bacteroidota; Bacteroidia. The record is from RNAcentral.
UUGRAUCAUGGCUCAGGAUGAACGCUAGCUACAGGCUUACACAUUGCAAGUCGSSGGGGCAUCAUGGGUGUAGCAAUACGCCUGAUGGCGACCGGCGCACGGGUGAGUAACACGUAUCCGACCUGCCCCAUACUAUGGGCUAGCCGCCCGAAAGGGUGAUUAAUCCCGUAUAAAGUCUAGUGAUUUGCAUGAUAUCUAGACCAAAGGAUAGAUCCGGUAUGGGAUGGGGAUGCGUUCCAUUAGGCAGUAGGCGGGGUAACGGCCCACCUAGCCUACGAUGGAUAGGGGUUCUGAGAGGAAGGUCCCCCACAUUGGAACUGAGACACGGUCCAAACUCCUACGGGAGGCAGCAGUGAGGAAUAUUGGUCAAUGGGCGUAAGCCUGAACCAGCCAAGUAGCGUGAAGGAUGACGGUCCUAUGGAUUGUAAACUUCUUUUAUACGCGAUUAAAAGAGUCCACUAWUGGUCUGAAUUGCAAUUAGCGUAUGAAUAAGCAUCGGCUAACUCCGUGCCAGCAGCCGCGGUAAUACGGAGGAUGCGAGCGUUAUCCGGAUUUAUUGGGUUUAAAGGGAGCGUAGAUUGUAUGUUAAGUCAGUUGUAAAAUACAGGAGCCCAACUCCUGGGAGCAGUUGAAACUGGCAUACUCGAGUAGGGUGGAGGCAGAUGGAAUUCGUGGUGUAGCGGUGAAAUGCAUAGAUAUCACGAAGAACUCCGACAGCGAAAGCAUUCUGCCACAGCCUAACUGACAUUGAUGCUCGAAAKUCCSGGUUUCAAACAGGAUUAGAUACCCUGGUAGUCCGCAACGGUA